CCUGACGACCAUAGCGGUCUGGAACCACCUGAUCCCAUCCCGAACUCAGAAGUGAAACAGACCAGCGCCGAUGGUAGUGUGGCGUUGCCCAUGUGAGAGUAGGUCAUCGUCAGGCUCCUAAUACC
This 125-nucleotide ribosomal RNA is filed under the name Marinobacter sp. 3-2. Lineage: Bacteria; Pseudomonadati; Pseudomonadota; Gammaproteobacteria; Pseudomonadales; Marinobacteraceae. The record is from RNAcentral.